UACGAAGGGGGCUAGCGUUGUUCGGAAUUACUGGGCGUAAAGGGCGCGUAGGCGGCUUCGAUAGUCGGGCGUGAAAUGCCUGGGCUCAACCCAGGAACUGCGCUCGAAACUCCGAGGCUAGAGUGUGGGAGAGGAUAGUGGAAUUCCCAGUGUAGAGGUGAAAUGCGCAGAUAUCAGGAAGAACACCCGUGGCGAAGGCGGCUCUCUGGAACGCAACUGACGCUGAGACGCGAAAGCGUGGGGAGCAAACAGG
This 253-nucleotide ribosomal RNA is filed under the name uncultured bacterium. RNAcentral describes it as "partial 16S ribosomal RNA". It matches the Rfam family "Bacterial small subunit ribosomal RNA", at positions 524 to 776 of the family's 1533-position model. The record is from RNAcentral.